GGGUUGGAGCCCCCUUCUCAUGGAUACUAGUCGGGUUUGUUUCUGCUGAGCCACAAAGGGAAGUCCAUACUUGUACUAUUAGAGUCUGGAAUAGUUGAUGACCGUGGGAGAAUAUGCUGCAAUACAUCCAAGUUUUAUAAAAAGGGGGAAAAAAAGGAGAUGAGAGUUAAUCUACACUCCACAAAUAUGUACCCUGUGAUAGGCACUUUGCUAAACCUUUUUUUCAUUUAGUGGCCCCAGUAAGCAUUAUAAUCUGCAAUUAAAAAAACAAAAAUACAAACAAAUUAAAACUCAGAGAAGUAUGUGACUUGCCUAAGAUUCCCAACUGCUACGUGGUAGGGUAAGGAUUUUAAUCCUAGUCUUUCUAAUUGCAUAGACUGUGUACUUUUCACCUGUCUAGACUUUCUCAAGCAGGAAUUCUCAAACCGGAUGUUGCACAAGGACCAUCCAUGGAGCUUGUGGCACCACAGUCAUGACGAUGCCAGAUCCCUUAGCUGCUAGGCUGCCAGGGAGCUCCUAAAAUAUUUUAGGAAAAGGGAAAUGUGAAAUAAAACCCACUGAAAUAGCUAAAGUUAAGAAAACCCGAAACACCGAGAGUUGGUGAAGAUGUGUGAUGAGAAACCAGCAUCUUGAUAAAUUUGGUGAGAAUGUAUAAUGCUCCAGCCACUUGUGAGAAGUAUCUAUUUUUUUAAAUAAAACUAAACAUACACUUA
Sus scrofa (pig) is the source of this 713-nucleotide non-coding RNA. Lineage: Eukaryota; Metazoa; Chordata; Mammalia; Artiodactyla; Suidae. The record is from RefSeq and is a predicted model, not a curated record.